AGAGCCGCCCAACCCAACCCCAAAAGCCACAGAAUCCAGUUCUCUUCAUAGGUCUCCGUUUUGAAUUACUCCGCACCCAUUCCUCGCUCGUGUCCAUUCUGAAUCAUGUCUCCGUUCUAAGUCUCGAAUCAUGUCUCCGUUCACAGAUGUCGAAGAAGCACUCACAGAUCUCGUAUUAGAACGUUCACCAGUUUGUCAAUAGGCUGAUAUGAGAAGGCAGAGGAAAAAACAG
Cajanus cajan (pigeon pea) is the source of this 232-nucleotide non-coding RNA. Lineage: Eukaryota; Viridiplantae; Streptophyta; Magnoliopsida; Fabales; Fabaceae. The record is from RefSeq and is a predicted model, not a curated record.